This 493-nucleotide ribosomal RNA is filed under the name uncultured bacterium. RNAcentral describes it as "bacterial SSU rRNA". It matches the Rfam family "Bacterial small subunit ribosomal RNA", at positions 29 to 520 of the family's 1533-position model. The record is from RNAcentral.
AUUGAACGCUGGCGGCAUGCUUUACACAUGCAAGUCGAACGGUAACGCGGGGGCAACCCUGGCGACGAGUGGCGAACGGGUGAGUAAUACAUCGGAACGUGCCCAUUUGUGGGGGAUAGCCCGGCGAAAGCCGGAUUAAUACCGCAUACGUCCUACGGGAGAAAGCGGGGGAUCGAAAGACCUCGCGCUAAUGGAGCGGCCGAUGCCAGAUUAGCUUGUUGGUGGGGUAAAGGCUUACCAAGGCAGCGAUCUGCAGCUGGUCUGAGAGGACGACCAGCCACACUGGGACUGAGACACGGCCCAGACUCCUACGGGAGGCAGCAGUGGGGAAUUUUGGACAAUGGGGGCAACCCUGAUCCAGCAAUGCCGCGUGUGUGAUGAAGGCCUGGUGUAAGCACUUUGUGGUACGAACAGUACCGUGCUAAUACCAUGACGAAUAGACGGUACCGCCAGAAUAAGACACCGGCGUAACUACGUAGCCACGCAGCCGCGG